GCAUGUGGUUUAAUUCGAAGCAACGCGAAGAACCUUACCAGGUCUUGACAUCCCUUGACAGCCUCAGAGAUGAGGUAUCUCUUCGGAGCAAGGAGACAGGUGGUGCAUGGUUGUCGUCAGCUCGUGUCGUGAGAUGUUGGGUUAAGUCCCGCAACGAGCGCAACCCUUGCCUUUAGUUGCCAUCAUUCAGUUGGGCACUCUAGAGGGACUGCCGGUGACAAACCGGAGGAAGGUGGGGAUGACGUCAAAUCAUCAUGCCCCUUAUGUCCUGGGCUACACACGUGCUACAAUGGUCUGUACAGAGGGAAGCGAAGCAGCGAUGUGAAGCGAAUCCCAGAAAACAGAUCUCAGUUCGGAUUGUAGGCUGCAACUCGCCUACAUGAAGCUGGAAUCGCUAGUAAUCGCAGGUCAGCAUACUGCGGUGAAUACGUUCCCGGGCCUUGUACACACCGCCCGUCACACCACGAAAGUUUGCAACACCCGAAGCCGGUGGCCUAACCCGCAAGGGAGGGAGCCGUCGAAGGUGGGGCAGAUGAUUGGGGUGAAGUCGUAACAAGGUAGCCGUAUCGGAAGGUGCGGCUGGAUCACCUCCUU
This 594-nucleotide ribosomal RNA is filed under the name uncultured bacterium. RNAcentral's name for it is "bacterial SSU rRNA". It matches the Rfam family "Bacterial small subunit ribosomal RNA", at positions 937 to 1532 of the family's 1533-position model. The record is from RNAcentral.